AGUUGGAUAGUUGGGUCACAUGGUGGAUCCAUUCCAAGUUUUCUGGGGAAUCUCCAUACUGCUUUCCGGAGUGGUUGCACCAUUUUGCAGUCCCGCCAGCAAU
RNAcentral lists this microRNA precursor (103 nucleotides) under Marmota monax (woodchuck). Lineage: Eukaryota; Metazoa; Chordata; Mammalia; Rodentia; Sciuridae. The record is from RNAcentral.